CAAAUUAAAGUUUUUAUAAUAUUUCAUUUACAUUGAAAAGAAAUUGAUUUAUUCAUUUAAUUUGA
RNAcentral lists this transfer RNA (65 nucleotides) under Orna nebulosa. Its description in RNAcentral is "transfer RNA-Val (GUN)". Lineage: Eukaryota; Metazoa; Arthropoda; Insecta; Lepidoptera; Zygaenidae. The record is from RNAcentral.